GACGAACGCUGGCGGCGUGCUUAACACAUGCAAGUCGAGCGGUAAGGCCCUUUCGGGGGUACACGAGCGGCGAACGGGUGAGUAACACGUGGGUGACCUGCCCUCAGCUCUGGGAUAAGCCUGGGAAACCGGGUCUAAUACUGGAUAUGACUCCAUGACGCAUGUUGUGGGGUGGAAAGCCUUGUGCGGCUGAGGAUGGGGCCCCGCGGG
Molecule: ribosomal RNA, 210 nt
Filed under: uncultured bacterium
Lineage: Bacteria
Description: partial 16S ribosomal RNA
Rfam family: Bacterial small subunit ribosomal RNA
Source: RNAcentral